Molecule: small RNA, 414 nt
Filed under: Oryza sativa Japonica Group (Japanese rice)
Lineage: Eukaryota; Viridiplantae; Streptophyta; Magnoliopsida; Poales; Poaceae
Description: sRNA Os02g0478650
Source: RNAcentral
UCAACAAGAUAUAUCUUUCUAGUAGAAGAAACCGAGGACCUUCCCACCAACGUUCUUUCUGCGAGCCUCCUCAUGGUCCAUAAUGCCAGCUGAAGUAGUAAGGACAAUGUACCCAAACUGGAGAGCAACAAACAAUAAACAUUAUCCAUGAUUCGAUUUCCUUGACACCAACAUCGAAGCGAGGGCUGAUGACACCACACUUGUUGAGGCGUCCGUUCAGCUCAACAACAAUUUUGCCAGAGCGGUGGUCAUCAACAAACUCAAAUUCACCAAUGUAGCCUACAUUGAGGAUAUACAAAACUUGAUGAUAACCUUUGAUGAGGGUCGGAUCAUCACUUGCCGCUUCCCACGCUUCUCAGCAUUGUACAUUGUUUUCAGAGCAUCGUUGAGGACACUGACUCUCACCAUUUUGUC